RNAcentral lists this transfer RNA (70 nucleotides) under Marmota monax (woodchuck). Its description in RNAcentral is "tRNA.Ala". Lineage: Eukaryota; Metazoa; Chordata; Mammalia; Rodentia; Sciuridae. The record is from RNAcentral.
GGGCUGCAGCUCAGUGGCAGAGUGCUUGCCUAGCAUGCAUGGGGCACUGGGUUCAAUCCUCAGCAUCACA